Molecule: ribosomal RNA, 432 nt
Filed under: Diaprepes balloui
Lineage: Eukaryota; Metazoa; Arthropoda; Insecta; Coleoptera; Curculionidae
Description: partial 16S ribosomal RNA
Rfam family: Bacterial large subunit ribosomal RNA
Source: RNAcentral
UGGCUGCGGUAACCUGACCGUGCAAAGGUAGCAUAAUAAUUAGUUUUUUAAUUGGAAGCUGGUAUGAAAGGUCGGAUGAGGGAAUUACUGUCUCUAUUUAAAUUAGUUAAAAAUUUAUCUUUAAGUAAAAAAGCUUAAAUUUUUAUGGUAGACGAGAAGACCCUAUAGAGUUUUAUUUACUUUUUUGAGAAUUUUUAUUAAGGAUUAAUGAAAUUUUUUUAAAAAAUUUAAUUUGGUUGGGGUGAUUGAAAAAUUUAAUAAACUUUUUUUUUAUAUGAACAUUGAUUUAUGAAUAUUUGAUCCUUUUUUUAAAGAUUAUAAGAUUAAAUUACCUUAGGGAUAACAGCGUAAUCUUUUUAAAGAGUUCAAAUCGAAAAAAGGGGUUGCGACCUCGAUGUUGGAUUAAAAUUUAUUUUUGGUGUAGGAGCUAAA